Heteronotia binoei (common prickly gecko) is the source of this 140-nucleotide small nuclear RNA. RefSeq annotates it as U4 spliceosomal RNA. The transcript has a single exon. NCBI's taxonomy places the organism in Eukaryota, Metazoa, Chordata, Lepidosauria, Squamata, Gekkonidae. The record is from RefSeq and is a predicted model, not a curated record.
AGCUUCACACACUGGCAGUAUCAUAGCCAAUGAGGUUAAACUGAGGUGCAAUUAUUGCUAAUUGAAACUUUUCCCAUUAGUCUGUCUACCAUCUUCAGGUUCAAUCCUUGCACCUGACUUCUUGCUAAUCCUGCAAUAGA